This 469-nucleotide ribosomal RNA is filed under the name uncultured Sphingobacteriales bacterium. Its description in RNAcentral is "bacterial SSU rRNA". It matches the Rfam family "Bacterial small subunit ribosomal RNA", at positions 916 to 1381 of the family's 1533-position model. Lineage: Bacteria; Pseudomonadati; Bacteroidota; Sphingobacteriia; Sphingobacteriales. The record is from RNAcentral.
UACGGGGCCCGCACAAGCGGUGGAGCAUGUGGUUUAAUUCGAAGCAACGCGAAGAACCUUACCUGGGCUCGAACGUAAGAUGACUGUAGGUGAAAGCUUACAUCUCUUCGGAGCAUUUUACGAGGUGCUGCAUGGUUGUCGUCAGCUCGUGCCGUGAGGUGUCGGGUUAAGUCCCAUAACGAGCGCAACCCCUACCUUUAGUUGCCAUCAGGUUAAGCUGGGGACUCUAAAGGAACUGCCUACGCAAGUAGUGAGGAAGGCGGGGAUGACGUCAAAUCAGCACGGCCCUUACGUCCAGGGCUACACACGUGCUACAAUGGCCGAUACAGAGGGCAGCUACCUGGUGACAGGAUGCAAAUCUCCAAAGUCGGUCUCAGUUCGGAUCGGAGUCUGCAACCCGACUCCGUGAAGUUGGAUUCGCUAGUAAUCGCGCAUCAGCCAUGGCGCGGUGAAUACGUUCCCGGGCCUU